Molecule: ribosomal RNA, 254 nt
Filed under: uncultured bacterium
Lineage: Bacteria
Description: partial 16S ribosomal RNA
Rfam family: Bacterial small subunit ribosomal RNA
Source: RNAcentral
UACGUAGGGGGCAAGCGUUGUCCGGAAUCAUUGGGCGUAAAGAGCGUGUAGGCGGCCCGGUAAGUCCGCUGUGAAAGUCCAGGGCUCAACCCCUGGGAUGCCGGUGGAUACUGUCGGGCUCGAGUCCGGAAGAGGAGUGUGGAAUUCCUGGUGUAGCGGUGAAAUGCGCAGAUAUCAGGAGGAACACCAAUGGCGAAGGCAGCACUCUGGGACGUGACUGACGCUGAGACGCGAAAGCGUGGGGAGCGAACAGG